GCCAUUUGACUGGCAAACGUCCAAAUCCAAGCCAUUAAGAAACCCUAAUGGUUGAGAUUUCAUGACACUCAAACAGGCAUGCUCUCCGGAAUACCAGAGAGCGCAAGUUGCGUUCAAAGAUUCGAUGAUUCACUGAAUUCUGCAAUUCACAUUACUUAUCGCAUUUCGCUGCGUUCUUCAUCGAUGCUCGUCUGACCAG
Molecule: unclassified non-coding RNA, 199 nt
Filed under: uncultured Cutaneotrichosporon
Lineage: Eukaryota; Fungi; Basidiomycota; Tremellomycetes; Trichosporonales; Trichosporonaceae
Description: sequence contains ITS1
Source: RNAcentral